GCCUUAGCUAAAUUAAAGGUUCUGAUUGCCAUUCAGGAGAUGUGUUUUAGUGCUUCACAGGUCUUA
Molecule: transfer RNA, 66 nt
Filed under: Phrynosoma coronatum
Lineage: Eukaryota; Metazoa; Chordata; Lepidosauria; Squamata; Phrynosomatidae
Description: partial tRNA-Ala
Source: RNAcentral